AACACACUCGUAUUCAUCGCGACCUUCGACACUCUCCCGCGCGCACGAGCCUUUGACGUGGGCGAUGUCGGAGUUAGGCAGGGAUCACCUACCCCAUAUUCAGGGGGUGGCGGCGUUUCGCAAAAGCGACAUUUCAACCAUGCCCUCUGUGGCAGCGGCCUGCCGUGCCUCCGAACCGCUACCUCGCCUGUACACGAGCACGGCCACGCUAGGCCGCAUCUAUGCACCGAGCGCGCCACACCGCAUGACGAAAGGAACUGCGAGCACACACGGCCGCGCAGCUCCUGGGCGCCGUUUUCACGCUGUACCUGCUGGAAGUCGAGCGCUCACGACAAAGGAUAUGCACUGCAGGCAUCCGUACCAUCUCAUGCCCCUUGGAUCCUCGUACCACACACCGGUCGGCUACUACAGAGAUGCGCUGCGCUUUGCACAGACCGUGGAGGAGUCACAGAGGACAGCCAUCAAAUUUGAAGAGCGCCGGUGCCGGUUGCACCUUUACAAGAAGUGCGCGUCUCACGCGCAUCGGAUUGCGCCUCCUUCUAGGGAGACUCGACAUCUCGCCUGCACCGCGGAGCCGCCGCAGCCCGUGAAAACAGUCGGGCCUCCCGCGUUUCUCAUCGUGUCCUACGACUCCAUGUCAUCUGUAUCGGAAAGCAAACUGGAAGAUGAAGACCAUAACAGUUUUUCUCCGCCAUCUCCCCGCGUGCUGCAAGAGAAGGAGACCGACAACGUCGUCGAGAAUGUGAUGAGGGCGAACAAUGUCAGCGCGCAUGCACGUUGGUCUACGGCGGGCACCUCAGCCACGCCUCCUCUCUUUCUCGGCGAUCAACUGUCGCGGCGCCCGUGCGAGACCAAGGAGCAUCUGCCCACCCUGCCUGCGCAGUUAACAGGUCCGCCAGGAAUCGCUGCGUCCAAGGGCGAUGCGCGAGACGCUGGCGCGCAACACGAGCUGUUGGAACAGCAGCCCCCUCGGUUAGUGGAGACACCUUUGACGUCACACGCGAUUUGGCUAUCCACCUCACACCACUACACCGAGCCAGCACCGUCUGUGGCGCCGGUCUUGGAGUUUUCGGUGUACCCACUGGUGCAUCGCGCCGCCGCGCAUGAGGAUUCGCGGACAACAUUGAAGACGCUGACGAUGUCUGGGGCGCCACACGGUGACCCGGGGACACUAAUUUGCUUAGAUACGCUGCGCACUGAGCGCCUGCUCGAGGCGCUGCAGUGGGUAGAGGCUGCCAUUCAGCACGCUACCGAGUUACAGGCACAUAGGUUCACCGCGCCACCACAACUGUAUUCAUUGGAAGCGGAGCAGAGCUCUGCUGUGCGCCAGGGCACCAAACCGCUACAACCUCCUCAGCACAAUCCUCAGGAGGAGCAGCCACCUUGGGGGUGCACCCCUAUGACAGAAGUCGUGCCCCGGCGCGAGAAUGUUCCCUUUGAAGGCCUCAAGGAGCUGCGUGCACUGCGGAGGAAAGAGGCUGCCGCUCUGGUGAGCUCCUGCUUUUCAGUCCUAAUCGGCGCCGUGCCCCAAUCGAUGUGCGGUAAGGGGACACCGACGACACCACUCGCAGCCGUCACUGCACCGACCAAGUACGAAGCCGCUGCCAACCCGCUGUCCUCGGUGCCGCCACGCCCAACCUCUGCUGCAUUUGAAGAAAUUUUGCACCAGCUGCGGUUGGAGGUGUCGCGUACGAUGGUGAGCUCCAUUUUGAGCUCCACUGCUGCGGUUCACACGGCUUUAGUGCCGCGCAACCAGAUGUGUUCCGCAAACAGGGAGGAAAAGGUAGCCACCGCUCUCGAUCUCUUCUCACCGCCGCUGCUUCGUCAGACGUCCCUCGUGGAGCACCAUGAUGGCACCUUAUCUCCUCCGAUGCUUGCCCCAGCGCGUGAGGCUGACUUGUAUCAGCUGCGUCGCGAUCUAGCCCAUCAACUGGCGACAACAGUGACACAGUCGACUCACCCCACCGAGUUUGCCUACGCUGAUAUCGAUCGUGCUAAGGCAGCCAAUAUUUCGGAGCCGCACUUCCACAAGGUGAGUAUCUUUCCCCGAAUCGUCUGAGCUCUCACUGCUUCACCUCAUACAUCCUUGCGGACUCGUGUAGAGUAUCAUAAUAUCUGCAUUGCUUCUGCGUGAGGGGCCACAGGCUCGCCUGCGCCAUUGCAUGUACAUUCAAAAACUGUUUCUCACUCUUCUUUUAUUGAUUCUCACUCCACCAUGCCCCAUCCUCCCUCCGCGUCCCUAUCCGCCUACGGUGUCGCUUCUGCACUUUUUCCCUCGCGUCAGAAUUAGCAAUCGUAUCGCAAACGAGGCGAUGAAGCAACGGAAGAGAUGUGGGCGCGGCUGGGUAUGGCACGGAUGAGUGCAAGCGCAUCUCCUCCUUUUCUUUUCGCCGUUGCUAAUUUUUCUCUCGUUCUUUUCAUCCUAUGUACACUGUUUGGUUACCUGCAACACAACAUCUGGAAACGUAAGGUAUUACACACCCCGG
RNAcentral lists this unclassified non-coding RNA (2486 nucleotides) under Leishmania donovani. RNAcentral's name for it is "gene:LdHU3.18.2150(CDS-product:hypothetical_prote in_conserved)". The record is from RNAcentral. Lineage: Eukaryota; Euglenozoa; Kinetoplastea; Trypanosomatida; Trypanosomatidae.